Molecule: transfer RNA, 87 nt
Filed under: Pseudovibrio exalbescens
Lineage: Bacteria; Pseudomonadati; Pseudomonadota; Alphaproteobacteria; Hyphomicrobiales; Stappiaceae
Also listed under: 3 other names
Description: Nesiotobacter exalbescens tRNA-Leu
Rfam family: tRNA
About the family: Transfer RNA (tRNA) molecules are approximately 80 nucleotides in length. Their secondary structure includes four short double-helical elements and three loops (D, anti-codon, and T loops). Further hydrogen bonds mediate the characteristic L-shaped molecular structure. tRNAs have two regions of fundamental functional importance: the anti-codon, which is responsible for specific mRNA codon recognition, and the 3' end, to which the tRNAs corresponding amino acid is attached (by aminoacyl-tRNA synthetases). tRNAs cope with the degeneracy of the genetic code in two manners: having more than one tRNA (with a specific anti-codon) for a particular amino acid; and 'wobble' base-pairing, i.e. permitting non-standard base-pairing at the 3rd anti-codon position.
Source: RNAcentral
GCCCCUGUGGCGGAACUGGUAGACGCGACGGAUUCAAAAUCCGUUUCCUUCACCGGAGUGCCCGUUCGAGUCGGGCCAGGGGCACCA